UUUGGUUAAGUUAGAAAGGGCGCACGGUGGAUGCCUUGACACUAGGAGUCGAUGAAGGACGGGACUAACGCCGAUAUGCUUCGGGGAGCUGUAAGUAAGCUUUGAUCCGAAGAUUUCCGAAUGGGGAAACCCACCAUACGUAAUGGUAUGGUAUCCUUAUCUGAAUACAUAGGGUAAGGAAGACAGACCCAGGGAACUGAAACAUCUAAGUACCUGGAGGAAGAGAAAGCAAAUGCGAUUUCCUGAGUAGCGGCGAGCGAAACGGAACAUAGCCCAAACCAAGAGGCUUGCCUCUUGGGGGUGUAGGACAUUCUAUACGGAGUUACAAAGGAACGAGGUAGACGAAGCGACCUGGAAAGGUCCGUCGUAGAGGGUAACAACCCCGUAGUCGAAACUUCGUUCUCUCUUGAAUGUAUCCUGAGUACGGCGGAACACGUGAAAUUCCGUCGGAAUCUGGGAGGACCAUCUCCCAAGGCUAAAUACUCCCUAGUGAUCGAUAGUGAACCAGUACCGGGAGGGAAAGGUGAAAAGCACCCCGGAAGGGGAGUGAAAGAGAUCCUGAAACCGUGUGCCUACAAAUAGUCAGAGCCCGUUAAUGGGUGAUGGCGUGCCUUUUGUAGAAUGAACCGGCGAGUUACGAUCCCGUGCGAGGUUAAGCUGAAGAGGCGGAGCCGCAGCGAAAGCGAGUCUGAAUAGGGCGUUUAGUACGUGGUCGUAGACCCGAAACCAGGUGAUCUACCCAUGUCCAGGGUGAAGUUCAGGUAACACUGAAUGGAGGCCCGAACCCACGCACGUUGAAAAGUGCGGGGAUGAGGUGUGGGUAGCGGAGAAAUUCCAAUCGAACCUGGAGAUAGCUGGUUCUCCCCGAAAUAGCUUUAGGGCUAGCCUUAAGUGUAAGAGUCUUGGAGGUAGAGCACUGAUUGGACUAGGGGUCCUCAUCGGAUUACCGAAUUCAGUCAAACUCCGAAUGCCAAUGACUUAUCCUUAGGAGUCAGACUGCGAGUGAUAAGAUCCGUAGUCAAAAGGGAAACAGCCCAGACCGCCAGCUAAGGUCCCAAAGUGUGUAUUAAGUGGAAAAGGAUGUGGAGUUGCUUAGACAACUAGGAUGUUGGCUUAGAAGCAGCCACCAUUUAAAGAGUGCGUAAUAGCUCACUAGUCGAGUGACUCUGCGCCGAAAAUGUACCGGGGCUAAAUACACCACCGAAGCUGCGGAUUGAUACCGAAUGGUAUCAGUGGUAGGGGAGCGUUCUAAGGACAGUGAAGUCAGACCGUAAGGACUGGUGGAGUGCUUAGAAGUGAGAAUGCCGGUAUGAGUAGCGAAAGACGGGUGAGAAUCCCGUCCACCGAAUGCCUAAGGUUUCCUGAGGAAGGCUCGUCCGCUCAGGGUUAGUCAGGACCUAAGCCGAGGCCGACAGGCGUAGGCGAUGGACAACAGGUUGAUAUUCCUGUACCACCUCUUUAUCGUUUGAGCAAUGGAGGGACGCAGAAGGAUAGAAGAAGCGUGCGAUUGGUUGUGCACGUCCAAGCAGUUAGGCUGAUAAGUAGGCAAAUCCGCUUAUCGUGAAGGCUGAGCUGUGAUGGGGAAGCUCCUUAUGGAGCGAAGUCUUUGAUUCCCCGCUGCCAAGAAAAGCUUCUAGCGAGAUAAAAGGUGCCUGUACCGCAAACCGACACAGGUAGGCGAGGAGAGAAUCCUAAGGUGUGCGAGAGAACUCUGGUUAAGGAACUCGGCAAAAUGACCCCGUAACUUCGGGAGAAGGGGUGCUUUCUUAACGGAAAGCCGCAGUGAAUAGGCCCAAGCGACUGUUUAGCAAAAACACAGCUCUCUGCGAAGCCGUAAGGCGAAGUAUAGGGGGUGACACCUGCCCGGUGCUGGAAGGUUAAGGAGAGGGGUUAGCGUAAGCGAAGCUCUGAACUGAAGCCCCAGUAAACGGCGGCCGUAACUAUAACGGUCCUAAGGUAGCGAAAUUCCUUGUCGGGUAAGUUCCGACCCGCACGAAAGGUGUAACGAUUUGGGCACUGUCUCAACCAGAGACUCGGUGAAAUUAUAGUACCUGUGAAGAUGCAGGUUACCCGCGACAGGACGGAAAGACCCCGUGGAGCUUUACUGUAGCCUGAUAUUGAAUUUUGGUACAGUUUGUACAGGAUAGGCGGGAGCCAUUGAAACCGGAGCGCUAGCUUCGGUGGAGGCGCUGGUGGGAUACCGCCCUGACUGUAUUGAAAUUCUAACCUACGGGUCUUAUCGACCCGGGAGACAGUGUCAGGUGGGCAGUUUGACUGGGGCGGUCGCCUCCUAAAGUGUAACGGAGGCGCCCAAAGGUUCCCUCAGAAUGGUUGGAAAUCAUUCGUAGAGUGCAAAGGCAUAAGGGAGCUUGACUGCGAGACCUACAAGUCGAGCAGGGACGAAAGUCGGGCUUAGUGAUCCGGUGGUUCCGCAUGGAAGGGCCAUCGCUCAACGGAUAAAAGCUACCCCGGGGAUAACAGGCUUAUCUCCCCCAAGAGUCCACAUCGACGGGGAGGUUUGGCACCUCGAUGUCGGCUCAUCGCAUCCUGGGGCUGUAGUCGGUCCCAAGGGUUGGGCUGUUCGCCCAUUAAAGCGGUACGCGAGCUGGGUUCAGAACGUCGUGAGACAGUUCGGUCCCUAUCCGUCGUGGGCGUAGGAAAUUUGAGAGGAGCUGUCCUUAGUACGAGAGGACCGGGAUGGACGCACCGCUGGUGUACCAGUUGUUCUGCCAAGGGCAUAGCUGGGUAGCUAUGUGCGGAAGGGAUAAGUGCUGAAAGCAUCUAAGCAUGAAGCCCCCCUCAAGAUGAGAUUUCCCAUAGCGUAAGCUAGUAAGAUCCCUGAAAGAUGAUCAGGUUGAUAGGUUCGAGGUGGAAGCAUGGUGACAUGUGGAGCUGACGAAUACUAAUAGAUCGAGGACUUAACCAUAUAA
This 2930-nucleotide ribosomal RNA is filed under the name Bacillus thuringiensis. RNAcentral's name for it is "23S ribosomal RNA". It matches the Rfam family "Bacterial large subunit ribosomal RNA". The record is from RNAcentral. Lineage: Bacteria; Bacillati; Bacillota; Bacilli; Caryophanales; Bacillaceae.